ACUUCAACGUUACGGCAAGCCCUACAGAGCAUCUAGUUUGCUGGUCGCUGUAUACGUACGUACAUAGUAUUACUAAGUACUGAAACUAUUGUGCAACUAUAAUAUUUUUGUAACGGAGUCUACAGACCUGAUAUGACGUAUGUAAAUAGUUUCAUUUCGAUUGAAAUGUAGAUAAACAUGAAUAUACCAAUGAUUACGGCUUGGCAAAAGCAAGAAACAUAUGAAUGAAAAUAGCAUUAAAUGUAAUCAACACGGCUAUCUAACAUUAGCAAAACAAUGUAAAUAUGAAUGCUCAAUCGUUCGUUUCUCGUAAUCAAUAUGUUCUCGACGUGCCUAAAAUUGAAAAUUGAUGAAUUUAUAAUGGUAUACUAAUACUUAUAACCUCCAAUAUCAUCACGUCACCAAAAAUAACACAAGGUAAAUUUUACGUUAUCAAAAUAAUCACUCUCAUUAAUACUUUGUUUUAAUUUUGCAUCUGUCUAACUGCAGUACUCAGAGACAUUUAAUGGUUACUUAAACUAUUCCUUAGUAACGAUUUUGUACUGAAAACAAUUACUAAGGAAUGCGGCAGUAGCCCACGUUUAACGCUAUAUUUUAUUAUAUUCAAAACUGACAUUGUACAAGCAUGAAACGACUGUUUCCUUAUCGUACUGUACCAUUUACUAGUUCAAAAUAAAGAUAUUCCGAUACCCGAAUUUCGAAUGUACCUAUUUCUACGUGGUAGAGCUAAGCUGCAUUUGCAGCUCGCAUUGGGCAAGCUCGGCCGGGGAAGUACCACGCUCUCACAGGCACCAGCGCAGCGUCAGCCCGAGCUGAAGCUGUGCCUGGUCGGUGAUGAGGACCGGAAUGCCCAGCCCCCUCCUCGAAACCUCGCAGGAGGGAACGACCUAUUCAAGAUACUAAGCCGUAGCACCCCAUAUAUUGAGCACCCAGAUCAUCUAUGGGUGUCUUUUGUAAAGGUCCACAGUCCACCAGUGGACUCCACGGACUGUUGAUGAUACGGGUGUCCCUUAAAGUAUGGAUCGAAUUGAAUGAUAAGGAGGUAAAUUUCCAAACCUUUUGCAUCUAAAGCGUGUUGGUCGAAUUCUUAAUAGUUCAAAAGUUAUGACCAAUUUUCGUUUUGUUCAGUUAUUUUAUAAAGUGCUCAAAGAAACGAUCGUAAACAAGAAAUUACCUAUUAAGGGAUAUCAAUGUAGUUUUUUUAUACUUAGACUAAAAAUAUAAAAAAACUACAUUGAUAAUCCUGACAAAUGAAGUCGCUCGCUCCUCAAGCAUGAGGGUGCGGCAUUAAAACCUAGCAAGUACCCAAUGUAACUAUAUUAAGAGUUAUAUUGUGUACUUUCUAAGAUCAUUCACAAACCGGUGAAGGCAAACAUCGUGAAAAAACCUGGACUUAUAAUUUCCAAUUAUAAGUUUGAAAUCGCCAAUCCGCCUUAAGCAGAUGUGGUGAUUAAUAUUCAUUCUUACUCCAUGUGAGAAAAGGCAUUUUCUUAGCAGUGGGACAAUUACAGACUGAUGACGUUGCAGCUUGGUGCUUUCUUGUUUAUGAUCGUUUCCUUGAGCCCUUUAUCAAAUAAUGGAACAAACAGAAAAUUGGUCAUAAAUUCUGAACAGUAAAGAAUUCGACAAACAUGCUUAGAUGCAAACAGUUUCGAAAUUACCUCUCUUUACCUCGGUUCAGUUUGACCCAUACAUUGAAGGACGCCCUGUAUAAGUCACAGUGCAUGAUUACAUCAAUAUAGAACAUAUAUGGGGCGUUACGAGUAACUUGGAUAGGUCGCAUUAUCUACCUCACAUUGCACUUAACCGGACUCAUGUCCGCAACAUCUGUUAAAUUACAACAAUUAACUAAUGUAAUAGUUACAACAUAGUUUUCGUUUAAAUGAAACGAAAAUGCAAUGUGAGGUAUAAUUUAGGUUAGGUGGUAUAGGUGAGAGAGGUAAGCGAUUAUCGCAUUUUGGUAAAAGGGAUUUAGCUAACACCAAAGUUUAGAAGUCUAUAGGAAUCAACCGUGACACUGACACAACCGUAAUUCAAUAGUGGUAACACAAUGCAUACAUAGGACAUAGUAAAACAAUAUUAAAAUUAACAACAGCGUCAAUAAUUUCCUGUUAUAAAAAAUAUGCCAAGUACCAUCAAAACUAACGGAAUACUCGUGUGAACCUGAACGAUCAAUGCAACGGUACGGUUUUUUGGAACCUCACUUCACGUGGUAGAGCCAAGCUGCAUUAACCUGCAGCUCGCAAUGGGUAGGCUCGACCGGGGAAGUACCACGCUCUCACCGCGAUACACCGGCGUGGCAGGCUUCUGAAGCUGGUAGCUGUGCUGGUGGGUGAUGAGGUCCGGAAUACCCAGCCCCCUUCUCGAAACUUCUGAGAAGGGACCGGCCUAUUCAAGAUACUAACCGUAGCACCCCGCAUUGAGGACCACUGAGCCUGCAGAAAUGCCCGGUCCUACGAGUAACUUGAAUAGGUCGUCUUACAUCAACCUCGCAUUGAAAUUGGGUAGUUUCCUUCAAAAACAAAACGUUUCGACUUUUCAAUACAAUAAAAAUGUUUAAUUUUCACAUUUUUCUAGUAAAAUACUAAGAAAUUAGUAUGCUUAUUAAUGCAGUCUUCUGCGACGUUACAACACGCUACCUCAUACAAAAUUAAAUGUAUAAAUAAUCAUAUAAACGUAACACCUUGGAAACUACCCCGUUAAGCGGUGCAACAUCUAUACAUGUUUAUUUUUCUAACAAUGCGAGGUAUAGCACCGACAUUUAUAAACAUAUUCAGUAGAUAACGUUAACAGUAUGUCACUCAGUUUUAUUCCAUAUCGGAUUAAAAUAUUAAAUUACAUAUUUGAAAUACUGGGAUUUAAGUAAAGACAGUUAGGCUAACUACUACAUGUAUGGCGAUUAUUAACAUCGUGCGAAUCGCAGAUUUGAUCCGCACACUGAACAAACUAUGAUAAAUAGGAAUGGGUCAUGCCUGAAUCAUGAUGUCAAUAAUUAACCUUAUGUCAAAGGGCUUAAGUACUAAAAUGCCGCAUACUAUGUACAAUAUAUGUAGGUACGCGAGGAUUUUAAGAAAUCUAUAAGAUCUCUUCAUUAUAAUCUGUAUCUACAUAGUUUACUGUUUGUAUGGCCUAAUGUUCCUCCGAUGUCAUGUAACAUACCUACAUUGUGUCAUAUUUUAGUCUAUUUAGCGUAAUUUAAUAUAUGAUUUGAAAUAUUCGUUUCAAAUGUAAUGUACUGUUUCAAAUCAAAUGAGUGGGCAAGUUGGUCUUGUUUUGCAUUUAAUGCAAAACAUAGGAUGCGUAAGGAUAGAAUGACUUUAGGUUUUAUUAAAAAUCGGUCGAAGCAAAACGGAUAAUAUAGUAUAAGAAAAAAAAAACAAAAAAACAGCAUUCCUGACGAAUAACUGUCGGGUUUGUAAGAAAAAAAAAAACUAAAAAAAAGUAAUUUAAAAUAAUACAAAAAAAAAACAUUAAAAAGUAAGAAAAACAAAAAAAAAACAACAAAAAGUUAAAAAAUGUAUAAAGUGUAUUACAAAAAAAUAAAAAAAAAACAAUGAAAACCAACAAAAAAUACAAAAAAGAAAGAAAAUACAAAAAAAAAAAUUAGUAUAGGAUGUAAAUAGUAAUAUAAAUAUGAAAUACAAUAUGUUUAAGACUAGCUAUGUAAGGAUCUCCAAGCUACCACUGAAAGCACUGCCAAUAAGUGUACUAGUUCUAACUUACAAUUAAAUAAAAUAAAAAUAUAAUAUAAGAUAUGGAUAAGUGUGUGAAAUCGAUAAUUAAAUAUAAGGUAAAAUUAGGAAGGUGAUGAUAUGAUGAUGAACACUAGAAUUACGCAACUACAUCAUUACUAGUUAAAAUAUUUCAACUCUAUAUUGCAUUUCACUAACAUUCCAACAUCAAACAGAAUAAACCCUUUUAUUCAUUAAAAGGCUUUUUUUCUGGUUUAUAUAAAGCGUACUGAGUUGAAAUGUCUUCUCUAGUAAGGUUUAGUUAGUUUGUAAGUAAAUUGGCAGCAAAAUUAUAUGUUCUAUACACGAUUAACACCUCUUAGUAGCUAUUAACCAACAUUUGAUGACAAUAUUAGAACAUCUUGGAGUGUAUUGAAAAAUCAUUUCUCAAAGUACAGUGCUUAGAGAAAGCCUAGUGUGUUUAUUGACACUCAAACUCCACUCAAUUGCGUACGAAUUGAGUGGUAUUUGGUGCGGGCACUACUUAAACUGGGAGAGCCUCUGCUAGGAUCAAUGAGGCGUUUGUCUAAGAGGACUUGCAAUGAAUAAGAUGACUUAUUCAAUACACUUUAGUCAUGGUAUGGCUAGCCAAUUGUGCAUGGGAUAUCUGCUUUUGCUGCUGAAUGUAGCUCUAAGUUUGUAUUAUAAAAUGGACACUAUUCUAUAUAGUGUCCAGAAAACUCAAUGAAAUGGCAUCACUAUCGCAAUUAGAUGUAAAUAUCGAGAAGGGAAAAAAUCUCUUAUAUACUUAUUAAUAAUUAAGUGCAUAGCCCCGUCGGUACCACCUUAAAUAGAAAUAGGUUUUUUAUACAAUCAAUCAGUAAGUCGAAAUAGAAAUAAACUUUGUAUUCUUUUUACGGGUUUUUGUACGUAUUGAAUGUAAUAUUGGGCAUAGGGGAACCUGGUUGCCGGCGGAAGAACCGCAUCGUGGCGGUCAACGGCGGUAACCAACGUAGACGUAAAAAUACUGAGUAAUAUAUGAUCCGGACUGGAGUAGAAUGAACAUCUAUCUGCGAGCUUCUUUGACAUAUUCAAAGUAGAGGUCGCAGAGUGGGGGAAAGCUUAAAGGCUUUUGUUAAAAAAGUCAAAGCUACCAAUCAUAUACCAGAUACCCCUAUCGAUACUACUUCCAGCUGUGUAAAACAAGGGAGUUUAUUUUAUCCCAAGGCAAGGUCAACCAUUAUCUAUAAGCUAGCUUUAGGCAGUAAGAUGAGGCUCUUAUAAAUGUAUCUUAUAUUCCUUUUGGCGAAUUAAUCUUUAAAAAACAGUAAACAACAAACUACAAUGCAUUUAAUUUUACCAUAACAUAAUGCAGUGGUGUUUUUUUGUCUGUGAAUAUUCAAUUUGGCUGUGGUUUUUCACGUACCAAGACGGUGUAAUAACUUAUUUUUUAUUAUUCGAAAGGUUAAGACAGACAGCUUGGUUAAUUUGUAAGUUUUGUGAUAUAAUUAGGUAUAAGUUAGAAUAGGUUUUUUAUAUUAUUUUUACGAAGCAAAUGCUGUGACUUUGUUAUUGUUCUUCCGCCUACUUGUCUGCCGCGUCCGACAUCAUUCGCUUGUUCUAAUGUGUGAAUCUUGUGUGAAUGAGUGGGAAGGUGUGUAAGUAAGAGUCUAUCUCGUGAAACGAAUUCCAUGUUUGUGGCGCCACACCUUUGGAAAACUGUGAUAAUAAUCUAGUCAAUGCAUUGUACGUGAGAAUUCUUUCAUGGGGUAGAGGGUGAGAUAGAACUGGGUGGAAGAGUGAGGAGUGACUGGAGGUACCGUUUGAAUGAGGACAAUAAAACAUGUGAUACUUAUGUGUGAUAUUACGACAAGGAGUGAUGGUGAACGAAAGGACAAGCUAAGUAUUUAAAACUCGAAAUAGUAAAUGCAAGAAAAUAAGGGUUCGGAAUACAUGGACAGUGUAAGAAAUACCUAAAAGUUAGCUAUGGCCAAUAUCUGAGGGCAUAAUCGAGCCUACGAGUAGAAUGUAUAUUAGAACCUAUGUAUAAAGAGAUAAGAUAUAAAGACAUAAGUGUAAAUAUAAAUGAGAAACAAAAAAAGAAAGCACUUUAAUACAUAAUAAUAGGAAUUAGUGGUGUACUGGGAAGGUGUACCUGUACAUAUUCUGGCGAAAUUCGGUACCAUUUAAAUACUAAGACGUAUAGCAUAAACAAUACAAAAAAAUAUAUGUUAUUUGCCGUCUGUCUUCCAUUAUUUUAUUAAAUUAUACUUUUCCAAACGACUUUCUGUCGGGUUGAAAUAACGGGAUUUUGAAAACACAGAUUUGUCUCCCUACAGUUCCCAUAUACCUGAACUUGUAGAUAUUAAUUUUAAUUGUAAUAUAGAUAAAUGUUUAAAGGGUUAAGUUAGCUAAUGUAGAUAUAAACGUGGAAAGUGAUGCAACAGCAAUGAGAACGUUAUAGUUAAGGAAUUAAUCACGGUUUCUGUACAUAGGCGACUCCGUGUUAGGUUAAAGUAUAAUACAUAAAUAAAAAAUCCAAAAAAAUAACAAAAAAAAGUAAAAAAGUGUGAAAAAGUAUACAAAAAAUGAAAAAAAAAUCAAUGGAAAAAUAAAAAAAAAUAGAACGUAAGUUAUUAAUAAGAUCUUGUUCAUGUGCUACUGACAAACAUAUAAUAACAAUACAUAAAAUACCUAAACUACUAAUACCACAGAAUAAAUAAAAUUGUACAUAGAAAUCUGUAUGCGAAGUACAACGUGUUACGCCACCGGCCUAACACGGCUUGCUACGACGCCAAAGAUUAAAAGGUAUGCAUAUGGACAAGUUAGGAACAUAAGUUGUACAUUGGUCAAUGAUCGUUGUAAAACAAAAAUAUUAAGGUGACAUUCGAUUGUAAUAGGUAAAACCUAACUCACGGUAUCUGUACAUAUAACACCGUGUUAAAAUAAGUAGGGUAGAGCUUAGCGUUUACUUGUAUAUAUAGGUUUAAAGAUAAUGAUUGAUGAUGACGAUAAUUGAUGAUGAAUUUUAAAGAAAAUGUAAUCUUUCAAACAAUUACACGAAUAUAAGCCGACAUAAUAAACAUUGGGCUAUUCUUAUAACAAAGGCUAUUUAAAUAGCAACGCGUUGUUCAAACGACAUCGUGCUAUGUCUGUUACCACAGGCACUUCAAAAAUACAAUUUGAUCACCAUAAUGUUUACAACUGUAAACCAUAACAUCAGACAUUUUUGACGCAAAAAUUACUAUUAGGUGUUAAUAAAUAUGUACGUGAAGAUAUAAAACGGGAUGAUAGUUAAGUAUAACCGUGCUAAGUGAUAUGUAUAUAUAGCACGUGAUAUUGCAUAGGAUUAAACUGUAACAUAAAAAUUAGGAGAAUAGAAUGAGUUAUGUGCAUACAUAACUAUUCAGGCCAGUUAAUUCCGUGCUUCGGAGGGCACGUUAAGCCGUCGGUCCCGGCUGUCCUACCAAUACCCUGGACAGUCGUCACCAUGCUUCGUCAUGUUCUUAUUGCAAUCUAGUCUUGUUCUUGGACAUCGACACCCACAUGUUGGGUUGCGGUGGCCAAAUGGCCUGCGCUAGUCGCAUCGUGUAAAACACCGAAGUCUCAGGAACGGACUAGACAGUCUUCACACAAGGCAGGGGAAUGUCUUCACGGCAUACUGACGCGUGUGGAUGAUAAAUCGCUAAGAUUUUACACCACUAUGGUCGCACGUUUGUCUCAUCAUGAGAUUUAAAAUUAAUUCUUACUAGCCCUAACCAUAUAUAAGAGCCUCAUCGAGCUAUACUAGUUCUCAUAAGUUUAGAAUAGUACAAGAGACUUAAAUGUCGAAACUUCUUCGUGCUUCGGAGGGCACGUAAAGCCGUCGGUCCCGGCUGUCCCACUACUAUCCCGGACAGUCGUCACCAUGCUUCGUCAUGUUCUAACAGAGACUGGUCCGUCCCAGGGCGCCAGUGUUCCCAUUACUUGGGACGCGGGGACUGACGCUCGCGUCGGUCGCUCCGUGUAUCGCACGGUCCCGGUGCGGACUGGUCUAACCUAUCACACGCGUCAGGGGAAUGUCUCGGCAUACUGACAACUGGGUAGGUGCCUUUACACGCGUUAUUAAUUACAUUAAUAAAACCUUGAAAUAUUAAUGAUUUCAAGCAUUCACACUCAUGAAGUGGAACGUAAGUUCCACUGUAGUGUUGAAAACAAGUGACAUGUACUGGUACUAUUAACUUGACUGUAAUAGCUACUGUACUGUCCCACUUACCAACAAAUAUAUUAAUUGAUUAAUACCACGUGUGUUAAAGGAGUUCUUUCAAUAAGUCAUUGGACAUUGUUGCUAGAAAUGAAUAUGGUCAUUAAUAAAUUUAUCUAAUAUACUAAAAUGACACAAUGUAGGAAAGCUUGCUUCGGAUGGCACGUUAAGCCGCGGUCUCAGCUUUUCAUCCUACACAUUAAGCCGGGUCCAGACGAGUGUAACGUGUAAUGUAAUCCACCGUGUAAUGUAACACGAAUUCUUCAGCGCGAGUGUUACAUGUAAUGCUCGUACUGCCGUCCACACGUAGAAUUCGUGUUACAUUACACGGUGGAUUACAUUACACGUUACACUCGUCUGGACCCGGCUUUAGAAAGACGUCGCCAUGCUUUGCCCUAGGGCGCCAAUGUUCCCAUGACUUGGGAUACCAGGAACUGAUGCCCACGUCGGUCAUCGUCAUUAAAAGUUGGAUUUUUCUUAGAAUAUUCAGACAAUAUUUUAAUUAUUGACAUUAUGUAUUCCGACAUAAGUAUUAAGUUCAAAAAAUAUCAGUAAUAACGAAUUACUCGUAAUAAGGUUUGAGCAAUCAAAUGUGAACGUGUGUAAAGCACUCAAAUUAAACAAACAAAGCAUUUUAGGAAAUUUUAUGUAUUACAAUUAUAAAAAAAAUAUCGAUAAUAGUCAGGUAGGAAUAAAACUGAAAUGAACAGUAAUAUAUUGAAAGAACUUGAGUUUUAUAUAUAAACAAUAAUUAUGUCUGUAACUCAUAAACCCAGAUGUAAUUUAUGAAGUUAAAUAAUUGUCUUCGUGCUUCGGAGGGCACGUAAAGCCGUCGGUCCCGGCUGUCCCACUACUAUCCCGGACAGUCGUCACCAUGCUUCGUCAUGUUCUAACAGAGACUGGUCCGUCCCAGGGCGCCAGUGUUCCCAUUACUUGGGACGCGGGGACUGACGCUCGCGUCGGUCGCUCCGUGUAUCGCACUGUCCCGGUGCGGACUGGUCUAACCUAUCACACGCGUCAGGGGAAUGUCUCGGCAUACUGACAACUGGGUAGGUGCCUUUACACGCGUUAUUAAUUACAUUAACUUCAAUUCUUAAUGAAUUAAUUCAACGCGUGUAAAAGGAUUUCAUCAUUACUUUCCGGUCAUUGUAACCGAAUUACGAGUUUCUUGAAUGAAUACACAUUGUAUUGCACUACAGUGAUAUAAUGUAAUACUUCGUGCUUCGGAGGGCACGUUAAGCCGUCGGUCCCGGCUGUCACGCUAACGCCAGUGACAGUCGUCACGAGCGAGUUAGCUCCUGGUAAUUAUUGUGGCCUAGCCUUAGCUUGAGAGACCAGUAUACAGCCAACUACAGGUAUUCACAAACCACGUUAAGAAAUCGAUGUGCACGAGAUGCUGUACACCAAGGUUAGGGCGGGUCACAGCCGAGCGUAGGAGUCAGGGGAAUAUCAUCGCGAUAUACUGACAAAUACGCUCGAAGCUUACUUAGUACGCUUAAUGUGUACUAGUAAGUGUUUUCACAAUAGAUUGAAUAUUUCCCAAACAAGUGCUCCUUGUGGAUAUGGUAAUCUAUUGAGAAGACAAUAAAUAGCAGACCCAGUUAAACUGGUGUAGAGGCCAAUGAUGAGUGGAAAUCAGCCAGAAGUUGAGGAUUCCUUGGAUCGGAAAUUGUUUGAUUUAAAGGUGAUCGCGAUAGUGUCAGUCAAGUAAAUGCUUCAUGUAAGUAGUUAUAUCCAGCUUCGGCUUUCAUUACUAUGCUACAAAUGAAAUCAUUGAUUUUAUAUUAAAUUUGCCCAGACUAUUACUAUGAAUACUUGGUUAAAAUUAAAUCGCAAAUUGUCGAAUGUAUGCAUUGUGUGCCACUAUGUCUAUACUGUUCACUAACAACUAAUGUAUAUCAUCAAGAUUUAGAUAAUCAAAAUUUGGACUUGUACUUGUAACUCCUCUGGUGUUUUUGGUUUCCAAGGGCUGCGCCGGUUGUUUACCAUCAGGUGAUCCAUAUUGUUCGUUUGCCAGCUUAUCCCAUAAAAAAAUCUGGGUGGCCUACAGAAUAUCGCAAACCCUCGACAUUUUAUAUCGUGCUUCGGAGGGCACGUAAAGCCGUCGGUCCCGGCUGUCCCACUACUAUCCCGGACAGUCGUCACCAUGCUUCGUCAUGUUCUAACAGAGACUGGUCCGUCCCAGGGCGCCAGUGUUCCCAUUACUUGGGACACGGGGACUGACGCUCGCGUCGGUCGCUCCGUGUAUCGCACUGUCCCGGUGCGGACUGGUCUAACCUAUCACACGCGUCAGGGGAAUGUCUCGGCAUACUGACAACUGGGUAGGUGCCUUUACACGCGUUAUUAAUUACAUUAACUUCAAUUCUUAAUGAAUUAAUUUAACGCGUGUAAAAGGAUUUCAUCAUUACUUUCCGGUCAUUGUAACCGAAUUACGAGUUUCUUGAAUGAAUACACAUUGUAUUACACUACAGUGAUAUAAUGUAAUACUUCGUGCUUCGGAGGGCACGUUAAGCCGUCGGUCCCGGCUGUCACGCUAACGCCAGUGACAGUCGUCACGAGCGAGUUAGCUCCUGGUAAUUAUUGUGGCCUAGCCUUAGCUUGAGAGACCAGUAUACAGCCAACUACAGGUAUUCACAAACCACGUUAAGAAAUCGAUGUGCACGAGAUGCUGUACACCAAGGUUAGGGCGGGUCACAGCCGAGCGUAGGAGUCAGGGGAAUAUCAUCGCGAUAUACUGACAAAUACGCUCGAAGCUUACUUAGUACGCUUAAUGUGUACUAGUAAGUGUCUUCACAAUAGAUUGAAUAUUUCCCAAACAAGUGCUCCUUGCUCGUGGAUAUGGUAAUCUAUUGAGAAGAUAAUAACCGAGCCGUAGCGAAAGUAAUAACAGGAAACAUAAAAAUACUUAAGAGCCAUGCUUCAUCAUGAAUGGGCUGGCUUGACUGGCGUUAUACCACCUCAGAAAACCGGCGUGAAUUAACGUUGUUGCCUGCGUUGUGCUCCGCUGAUGUUACUGGACGCUAAAUCUUUCGUCUAUCUCGACAA
Spodoptera frugiperda (fall armyworm) is the source of this 10959-nucleotide long non-coding RNA. RefSeq lists it as uncharacterized. The transcript has 2 exons. NCBI's taxonomy places the organism in Eukaryota, Metazoa, Arthropoda, Insecta, Lepidoptera, Noctuidae. The record is from RefSeq and is a predicted model, not a curated record.